AACGAGCGCUGGCGGCAUGCCUAACACAUGCAAGUCGAACGAGAUCCUUCGGGGUCUAGUGGCGCACGGGUGCGUAACGCGUGGGAAUCUGCCCUUAGGUUCGGAAUAACAGUUAGAAAUGACUGCUAAUACCGGAUGAUGACGUUAAGUCCAAAGAUUUAUCGCCUGAGGAUGAGCCCGCGUAGGAUUAGCUAGUUGGUGUGGUAAAGGCGCACCAAGGCGACGAUCCUUAGCUGGUCUGAGAGGAUGAUCAGCCACACUGGGACUGAGACACGGCCCAGACUCCUACGGGAGGCAGCAGUGGGGAAUAUUGGACAAUGGGCGCAAGCCUGAUCCAGCAAUGCCGCGUGAGUGAUGAAGGCCUUAGGGUUGUAAAGCUCUUUUACCCGGGAUGAUAAUGACAGUACCGGGAGAAUAAGCCCCGGCUAACUCCGUG
This 436-nucleotide ribosomal RNA is filed under the name uncultured bacterium. Its description in RNAcentral is "partial 16S ribosomal RNA". It matches the Rfam family "Bacterial small subunit ribosomal RNA", at positions 29 to 507 of the family's 1533-position model. The record is from RNAcentral.